GUGAACGCUGGCGGUAGGCCUAACACAUGCAAGUCGAACGGCAGCACAGUAAGAGCUUGCUCUUACGGGUGGCGAGUGGCAGACGGGUGAGGAAUACAUCGGAAUCUACUUUUUCAUGGGGGAUAACGUAGGGAAACUUACGCUAAUACCGCAUACGACCUACGGGUGAAAGCAGGGGAUCUUCGGACCUUGCGCGAUUGAAUGAGCCGAUGUCGGAUUAGCUAGUUGGCGGGGUAAAGGCCCACCAAGGCGACGAUCCGUAGCUGGUCUGAGAGGAUGAUCAGCCACACUGGAACUGAGACACGGUCCAGACUCCUACGGGAGGCAGCAGUGGGGAAUAUUGGACAAUGGGCGCAAGCCUGAUCCAGCCAUACCGCGUGGGUGAAGAAGGCCUUCGGGUUGUAAAGCCCUUUUGUUGGGAAAGAAAAGCAGCAGGUUAAUACCCCGCUGUUCUGACGGUACCCAAAGAAUAAGCACCGGCUAACUUCGUG
This 491-nucleotide ribosomal RNA is filed under the name uncultured bacterium. RNAcentral's name for it is "partial 16S ribosomal RNA". It matches the Rfam family "Bacterial small subunit ribosomal RNA", at positions 29 to 507 of the family's 1533-position model. The record is from RNAcentral.